AGAUUGAACGCUGGCGGCAGGCCUAACACAUGCAAGUCGAGCGGCAGCACGGGUACUUGUACCUGGUGGCGAGCGGCGGACGGGUGAGUAAUGCCUAGGAAUCUGCCUGGUAGUGGGGGGAUAACGCUCGGAAACGGACGCUAAUACCGCAUACGUCCUACGGGGGAAAGCAGGGGACCUUCGGGCCUUGCGCUAUCAGAUGAGCCUAGGUCGAUUAGCUAGUUGGUGAGGUAAUGGCUCACCGAAGGUCGACGAUCCCGUAAUGGUCUGAGAGGAUGAUCCAGUCACACUGGAACUGGAGACACGGUCCAGGACCUCCGAAGGGAGCAGGUCCGAGGUAGGAAUUGUAGGAACAGGU
RNAcentral lists this ribosomal RNA (358 nucleotides) under uncultured soil bacterium. RNAcentral describes it as "bacterial SSU rRNA". It matches the Rfam family "Bacterial small subunit ribosomal RNA", at positions 26 to 376 of the family's 1533-position model. The record is from RNAcentral.